AACGAACGCUGGCGGCGUGGAUAAGACAUGCAAGUCGAACGCUGGCUUAAAGGUAGCAAUAUUUUUAAGUCGGAGUGGCGCAAGGGUGCGUAACACGUGGGUAAUCUACCGUGAAGUUGGGAAUAACUUGCCGAAAGGUAAGCUAAUACCGAAUGUGGCCUCUGGAAGGCAUCUUUCAGAGAUCAAAGCUGGGGACCGUAAGGCCUGGCGCUUCAUGAUGAGCCCGCGGCCUAUCAGCUUGUUGGUGAGGUAACGGCUCACCAAGGCGAAGACGGGUAGCUGGUCUGAGAGGACGAUCAGUCACACUGGAACUGAGACACGGUCCAGACACCUACGGGUGGCAGCAGUCGAGAAUCUUUCUCAAUGGGCGAAAGCCUGAAGGAGCGACGCCGCGUGGGGGAUGAAUGGCUUCGGCUAGUAAACCCCUGUCAUUUGCGAACAAAUGUUACUGUUUAAUAGAUGGUAACUUGAGGGUAGCGAAAGAGGAAGGGACGGCUAACUCUGUGCCAGCAGCCGCGGUAAUACAGAGGUCCCGAGCGUUGUUCGGAUCCACUGGGCGUAAAGGGUGCGUAGGUGGUACGGUAAUGUUUGAUGUGAAAGCUCCGAGCUCAACUCGGAAAAUGCAUUAAAAACUAUCGAAC
This 641-nucleotide ribosomal RNA is filed under the name uncultured bacterium. Its description in RNAcentral is "bacterial SSU rRNA". It matches the Rfam family "Bacterial small subunit ribosomal RNA", at positions 28 to 641 of the family's 1533-position model. The record is from RNAcentral.